UACAUAGGUGGCAAGCGUUAUCCGGAUUUAUUGGGCGUACAGGGUGCGUAGGUGGUUUGAUAAGUUUAGGGUUAAAGGCCGGAGCUCAACUCCGGUUCGCCUUGAAAACUGUCUUACUAGAAUACAGGAGAGGUAGAUGGAAUUCCAUGUGUAGCGGUGAAAUGCGUAGAUAUAUGGAGGAACACCAGUGGCGUAGGCGGUCUACUGGCCUGUUAUUGACACUGAGGCACGAAAGCGUGGGGAGCAAAUAGG
Molecule: ribosomal RNA, 252 nt
Filed under: uncultured bacterium
Lineage: Bacteria
Description: partial 16S ribosomal RNA
Rfam family: Bacterial small subunit ribosomal RNA
Source: RNAcentral